This is a long non-coding RNA of Ceratina calcarata, 600 nucleotides long. RefSeq lists it as uncharacterized. The record is from RefSeq and is a predicted model, not a curated record. Lineage: Eukaryota; Metazoa; Arthropoda; Insecta; Hymenoptera; Apidae. The transcript has 3 exons.
GUAUACAAGGGGAAGCAUAGGGGGGAUUGACAGUCAGCAGCUUCAGCAGCGAGCGGGCAUCCGCGAGGCCGCGAGUUUUAUUCCUGACCACAACACUUGUGCGGUCAGUUACACGAAUAUAGAACGAUUUUAUGCGAACAUAAAAUGCCUCGUCUCUCCACCAACAACAAGCAAUAAAUCAUUGAAUUCUAAUACACGGUCGCGUAUCAACCCUCGCUGUUACUAACAGAGGCACUAGGGAUGUGAACCUAGUCCCUCCAAAAUCUUCACGAACGAAUUAGUCCACAGUUUAUUAUCACUCUGUUAAUAAAUAAAACGUACACACCGUUUCGUUGACAGAAAUAAUAUAAUUUGUUAAUAUUUAAUUCUGUAAAACGUGUACGUAAAUCUCAUCUGGACGUAAAUAUCGUGCGGUUCUCAUAUUUGACGAUUUUGGAAUAUUGAUCGUGGAGGAACUCGAUAGGAAGUAUUAAAGAUGAGAGAUCACCACCGUUGAUUCUGGUUUUGUUCUGAGUAAAUCGGAAGUAACUCAAUACGAAGUAUUAAAGAUGAGAGAUCAGCACCGUUGAUUUGGUUUUUGUUGUCGUGAAUCGGUAAGAA